Molecule: ribosomal RNA, 433 nt
Filed under: uncultured bacterium
Lineage: Bacteria
Description: partial 16S ribosomal RNA
Rfam family: Bacterial small subunit ribosomal RNA
Source: RNAcentral
AACGAACGCUGGCGGCAUGCCUAACACAUGCAAGUCGAACGAGACCUUCGGGUCUAGUGGCGCACGGGUGCGUAACGCGUGGGAACCUGCCCUUAGGUUCGGAAUAACUCCCCGAAAGGGGUGCUAAUACCGGAUAAUGUCUUCGGACCAAAGAUUUAUCGCCUUUGGAUGGGCCCGCGUUGGAUUAGCUAGUUGGUAGGGUAAAAGCCUACCAAGGCGACGAUCCAUAGCUGGUCUGAGAGGAUGAUCGGCCACACUGGGACUGAGACACGGCCCAGACUCCUACGGGAGGCAGCAGUGGGGAAUAUUGGACAAUGGGCGAAAGCCUGAUCCAACAAUGCCGCGUGAGUGAUGAAGGCCUUAGGGUUGUAAAGCUCUUUUACCCGGGAUGAUAAUGACAGUACCGGGAGAAUAAGCUCCGGCUAACUCCGUG